GUGGGGUUGUGGCUCAGUAGUAGAGCGCUUGCCUCGCAUGUGUGAGGCCCUGGGUUCGAUUCUCAGCACCACA
Molecule: transfer RNA, 73 nt
Filed under: Marmota monax (woodchuck)
Lineage: Eukaryota; Metazoa; Chordata; Mammalia; Rodentia; Sciuridae
Description: tRNA.Ala
Rfam family: tRNA
About the family: Transfer RNA (tRNA) molecules are approximately 80 nucleotides in length. Their secondary structure includes four short double-helical elements and three loops (D, anti-codon, and T loops).
Source: RNAcentral